GGUUAAGCGACUAAGCGUACACGGUGGAUGCCCUGGCAGUCAGAGGCGAUGAAGGGCGUGCUAAUCUGCGAUAAGCGCCGGUAAGGUGAUAUGAACCGUUAUAACCGGCGAUACCCGAAUGGGGAAACCCAGUGUGAUUCGUCACACUAUCAUUAACUGAAUCCAUAGGUUAAUGAGGCGAACCGGGGGAACUGAAACAUCUAAGUACCCCGAGGAAAAGAAAUCAACCGAGAUUCCCCCAGUAGCGGCGAGCGAACGGGGAGGAGCCCAGAGCCUGAAUCAGCAUGUGUGUUAGUGGAAGCGUCUGGAAAGGCGCGCGAUACAGGGUGACAGCCCCGUACACAAAAGCGCAUGUGCUGUGAGCUCGAUGAGUAGGGCGGGACACGUGGUAUCCUGUCUGAAUAUGGGGGGACCAUCCUCCAAGGCUAAAUACUCCUGACUGACCGAUAGUGAACCAGUACCGUGAGGGAAAGGCGAAAAGAACCCCGGCGAGGGGAGUGAAAAAGAACCUGAAACCGUGUACGUACAAGCAGUGGGAGCCCCACCACUAAGCCAGUGGUGAACUCCACAUCCGCAUCCUUUGCUGAGGAUACGGUUAACGGAGCGAAAGCGACGUUCAACCGCAAAACAAGCAGAGGGGGCUUAGUGGUGGGGUGACUGCGUACCUUUUGUAUAAUGGGUCAGCGACUUAUAUUCUGUAGCAAGGUUAACCGUAUAGGGGAGCCGGAGGGAAACCGAGUCUUAAUUGGGCGUUAAGUUGCAGGGUAUAGACCCGAAACCCGGUGAUCUAGCCAUGGGCAGGUUGAAGGUUGGGUAACACUAACUGGAGGACCGAACCGACUAAUGUUGAAAAAUUAGCGGAUGACCUGUGGCUGGGGGUGAAAGGCCAAUCAAACCGGGAGAUAGCUGGUUCUCCCCGAAAGCUAUUUAGGUAGCGCCUCGUGAAUUCAUCUCCGGGGGUAGAGCACUGUUUCGGCUAGGGGCCAUCCCGGCUUACCAACCCGAUGCAAACUGCGAAUACCGGAGAAUGUUAUCACGGGAGACACACGGCGGGUGCUAACGUCCGUCGUGAAGAGGGAAACAACCCAGACCGCCAGCUAAGGUCCCAAAGUCAUGGUUAAGUGGGAAACGAUGUGGGAAGGCCCAGACAGCCAGGAUGUUGGCUUAGAAGCAGCCAUCAUUUAAAGAAAGCGUAAUAGCUCACUGGUCGAGUCGGCCUGCGCGGAAGAUGUAACGGGGCUAAACCAUGCACCGAAGCUGCGGCAGCGAACGUAUCACCCAAGACAACUUUACGGAGUUGACGAUUGACGGAGCGAAGCGACGUCAAAGCGUUCAUUAAAGUCGAGUUGGCUUAGGGAUACGUUCGUUGGGUAGGGGAGCGUUCUGUAAGCCUGUGAAGGUGUGUCGUGAGGCAUGCUGGAGGUAUCAGAAGUGCGAAUGCUGACAUAAGUAACGAUAAAGCGGGUGAAAAGCCCGCUCGCCGGAAGACCAAGGGUUCCUGUCCAACGUUAAUCGGGGCAGGGUGAGUCGACCCCUAAGGCGAGGCCGAAAGGCGUAGUCGAUGGGAAACGGGUUAAUAUUCCCGUACUUGGUGUUACUGCGAAGGGGGACGGAGAAGGCUAUGUUGGCCGGGCGACGGUUGUCCCGGUUUAAGCGUGUAGGUGUGUGUUCCAGGUAAAUCCGGUUCACUUUAACACUGAGGCGUGACGACGAGGCACUACGGUGCUGAAGCAACAAAUGCCCUGCUUCCAGGAAAAGCCUCUAAGCAUCAGGUAACACGAAAUCGUACCCCAAACCGACACAGGUGGUCAGGUAGAGAAUACCAAGGCGCUUGAGAGAACUCGGGUGAAGGAACUAGGCAAAAUGGUGCCGUAACUUCGGGAGAAGGCACGCUGACACGUAGGUGAAGUGAUUUACUCAUGGAGCUGAAGUCAGUCGAAGAUACCAGCUGGCUGCAACUGUUUAUUAAAAACACAGCACUGUGCAAACACGAAAGUGGACGUAUACGGUGUGACGCCUGCCCGGUGCCGGAAGGUUAAUUGAUGGGGUCAGCGUAAGCGAAGCUCCUGAUCGAAGCCCCGGUAAACGGCGGCCGUAACUAUAACGGUCCUAAGGUAGCGAAAUUCCUUGUCGGGUAAGUUCCGACCUGCACGAAUGGCGUAAUGAUGGCCAGGCUGUCUCCACCCGAGACUCAGUGAAAUUGAACUCGCUGUGAAGAUGCAGUGUACCCGCGGCAAGACGGAAAGACCCCGUGAACCUUUACUAUAGCUUGACACUGAACAUUGAGCCUUGAUGUGUAGGAUAGGUGGGAGGCUUUGAAGUGUGGACGCCAGUCUGCAUGGAGCCGACCUUGAAAUACCACCCUUUAAUGUUUGAUGUUCUAACGUGGACCCGUAAUCCGGGUUGCGGACAGUGUCUGGUGGGUAGUUUGACUGGGGCGGUCUCCUCCUAAAGAGUAACGGAGGAGCACGAAGGUUGGCUAAUCCUGGUCGGACAUCAGGAGGUUAGUGCAAUGGCAUAAGCCAGCUUGACUGCGAGCGUGACGGCGCGAGCAGGUGCGAAAGCAGGUCAUAGUGAUCCGGUGGUUCUGAAUGGAAGGGCCAUCGCUCAACGGAUAAAAGGUACUCCGGGGAUAACAGGCUGAUACCGCCCAAGAGUUCAUAUCGACGGCGGUGUUUGGCACCUCGAUGUCGGCUCAUCACAUCCUGGGGCUGAAGUAGGUCCCAAGGGUAUGGCUGUUCGCCAUUUAAAGUGGUACGCGAGCUGGGUUUAGAACGUCGUGAGACAGUUCGGUCCCUAUCUGCCGUGGGCGCUGGAGAACUGAGGGGGGCUGCUCCUAGUACGAGAGGACCGGAGUGGACGCAUCACUGGUGUUCGGGUUGUCAUGCCAAUGGCACUGCCCGGUAGCUAAAUGCGGAAGAGAUAAGUGCUGAAAGCAUCUAAGCACGAAACUUGCCCCGAGAUGAGUUCUCCCUGAGACUUAGAGUCUCCUGAAGGAACGUUGAAGACGACGACGUUGAUAGGCCGGGUGUGUAAGCGCAGCGAUGCGUUGAGCUAACCGGUACUAAUGAACCGUGAGGCUUAACCUU
Molecule: ribosomal RNA, 3089 nt
Filed under: Salmonella enterica
Lineage: Bacteria; Pseudomonadati; Pseudomonadota; Gammaproteobacteria; Enterobacterales; Enterobacteriaceae
Description: 23S ribosomal RNA
Rfam family: Bacterial large subunit ribosomal RNA
Source: RNAcentral